Molecule: ribosomal RNA, 573 nt
Filed under: Colletotrichum simmondsii
Lineage: Eukaryota; Fungi; Ascomycota; Sordariomycetes; Glomerellales; Glomerellaceae
Description: eukaryotic LSU rRNA
Rfam family: 5.8S ribosomal RNA (bases 237-390)
Source: RNAcentral
GGAAGUAAAAGUCGUAACAAGGUCUCCGUUGGUGAACCAGCGGAGGGAUCAUUACUGAGUUACCGCUCUAUAACCCUUUGUGAACAUACCUAACCGUUGCUUCGGCGGGCAGGGGAAGCCUCUCGCGGGCCUCCCCUCCCGGCGCCGGCCCCCACCACGGGGACGGGGCGCCCGCCGGAGGAAACCAAACUCUAUUUACACGACGUCUCUUCUGAGUGGCACAAGCAAAUAAUUAAAACUUUUAACAACGGAUCUCUUGGUUCUGGCAUCGAUGAAGAACGCAGCGAAAUGCGAUAAGUAAUGUGAAUUGCAGAAUUCAGUGAAUCAUCGAAUCUUUGAACGCACAUUGCGCUCGCCAGCAUUCUGGCGAGCAUGCCUGUUCGAGCGUCAUUUCAACCCUCAAGCACCGCUUGGUUUUGGGGCCCCACGGCACACGUGGGCCCUUAAAGGUAGUGGCGGACCCUCCCGGAGCCUCCUUUGCGUAGUAACUAACGUCUCGCACUGGGAUUCGGAGGGACUCUUGCCGUAAAACCCCCAAAUUUUUUACAGGUUGACCUCGGAUCAGGUAGGAAU